CGAAAGAUCAUGGAUAUAAGACGUUUUUUCAAAAACAAGGAGGCUGACUCGGCUGAGGCUCACGUCUCCGGGGAGCCGUUACCAGAAACAGCAGAUUCAAAGGAUGGAAGGAAUGAGCAGAUGGAGAAAAAAGAGCAGCAGAGACAGAGGUGCAACACAACACAGUAGGGGUGGAAGGAAAAAUAAAAUACCAAAAAUUAAACUGA
Molecule: non-coding RNA, 206 nt
Organism: Epinephelus lanceolatus (giant grouper)
Lineage: Eukaryota; Metazoa; Chordata; Actinopteri; Perciformes; Serranidae
Source: RefSeq, a predicted model, not a curated record